AGUGAACGCUGGCGGUAGGCCUAACACAUGCAAGUCGAACGGCAGCACAGUAAGAGCUUGCUCUUACGGGUGGCGAGUGGCGGACGGGUGAGGAAUACAUCGGAAUCUACUUUUUCGUGGGGGAUAACGUAGGGAAACUUACGCUAAUACCGCAUACGACAUACGGGUGAAAGCAGGGGAUCUUCGGACCUUGCGCGAUUGAAUGAGCCGAUGUCGGAUUAGCUAGUUGGCGGGGUAAAGGCCCACCAAGGCGACGAUCCGUAGCUGGUCUGAGAGGAUGAUCAGCCACACUGGAACUGAGACACGGACCAGACUCCUACGGGAGGCAGCAGUGGGGAAUAUUGGACAAUGGGCGCAAGCCUGAUCCAGCCAUACCGCGUGGGUGAAGAAGGCCUUCGGGUUGUAAAGCCCUUUUGUUGGGAAAGAAAAGCAGCAGGUUAAUACCCCGCUGUUCUGACGGUACCCAAAGAAUAAGCACCGGCUAACUUCGUG
RNAcentral lists this ribosomal RNA (492 nucleotides) under uncultured bacterium. RNAcentral describes it as "partial 16S ribosomal RNA". It matches the Rfam family "Bacterial small subunit ribosomal RNA", at positions 29 to 507 of the family's 1533-position model. The record is from RNAcentral.